This 513-nucleotide ribosomal RNA is filed under the name uncultured prokaryote. Its description in RNAcentral is "bacterial SSU rRNA". It matches the Rfam family "Bacterial small subunit ribosomal RNA", at positions 397 to 905 of the family's 1533-position model. The record is from RNAcentral.
UCAUAUGCAGGGUUCCUAGAUUCGUCGGACUGCCUCCGAAUGGACGGGCUGCUUCCUCACGGAAGAAUAUUGACGGUCCCUGAGGAAUAAGUCUCGGACUAACUACGUGACCAGGCAAGCCGGGGGUAAUAACGAUAAGAGCGAGCGUUAUCCGGAUUUAUUGGGCGUAAAGUGGGCGUAGGUGGUCUUUCAAGUCAGAUGUGAAAUCUCCCGGCUCAACUGGGAGGGGUCAUCUGAUACUGUUGGACUUGAGUGCAGCAGGGGAAAAUGGAAUUCCCGGUGUAGUGGUGAAAUGCGUAGAUAUCGGGAGGAACACCAGAGGCGAAGGCGAUUUUCCAGGCUGAAACUGACACUGAGGCCCGAAAGCGUGGGGAGCGAACAGGAUUAGAUACCCUGGUAGUCCACGCCCUAAACUAUGGGUACUAGGUAUAGGGAGUAUCGACCCUUUCUGUGCCGAAGCUAACGCUUUAAGUACCCCGCCUGGGGAGUACGGUCGCAAGACUAAAACUCAAA